UGCUUAUUGCAAAAGAAUAUUACAUCACCACAGAUUAUUCUUAUUAGAUGUACACAUUGAUUUAUGAGAUUUUUAAGACAGCAAUAAUAAGCAAACUGGGCGCUGCCAUGGCACCGUGCGACUUGUGCUGCCCCCUGGCAAAGUUACGCUUUAGAAUUUUUAGAUUUGUGCAGAGCACAAAAAGAGGGCGCUGUCGACAGACCCACGUAGUAGCGCGACCGCCAGGAGGAGCCAAUACAUAAUAAUGCGACGAACUGGUGGCGGAUCGGAAAACAAAACAAAAUAGAACCAAACUCGACCGGCAGAGAGAGUGCUAGAGCAGCUGGGAAAACUUUACGUGGGGCUGGUGUUGAAUGACAUCCACCACUACACUCACGUUCUCACUGGUAAGCAGGAGUAGAGAGGAAGGGAGGGAGCGCGGGAGGGAAGAAGGGAGGGAGGGAGAGAGAGAGAGAGAGAGACAGAGGAAGAGGGAGAGGAGGGGGAGAACUGUUAGACGGGCUGGUGUUGAAUGACAUCCACCACUACACUCACGUUCUCACUGGUAAGCAGGAGUAGAGAGGAAGG
Molecule: long non-coding RNA, 567 nt
Organism: Priapulus caudatus
Lineage: Eukaryota; Metazoa; Priapulida; Priapulimorpha; Priapulimorphida; Priapulidae
Exons: 2
Source: RefSeq, a predicted model, not a curated record